This 1900-nucleotide small RNA is filed under the name Arabidopsis thaliana (thale cress). RNAcentral's name for it is "ATSL166750". The record is from RNAcentral. Lineage: Eukaryota; Viridiplantae; Streptophyta; Magnoliopsida; Brassicales; Brassicaceae.
AAAAAAAAAAGAAUAAUUCCAUUGUCUUUCCUCAUUCAUUGGAGAGCUCUCUUUGGGCUUUCCGAAAAAGUAUCACAUGCAAAGUUUGGCCUCACGGUCAAAAAUUUAUAGAGUCAUACAUUUUAACAAAAAAAAUAGAGAAAAACCGAAAAAAAAGAGGGAUGCAACACGAAUACAUUCCGAGAGAUCACCCAUCCUAGUACUACUCUCGUCCAAGCACGCUUAACUGCAGAGUUCUGAUGGGAUCCGGUGCAUUAAUGCUGGUAUGAUCGCAUCCGUUAGUACAUGCAAUGCAAUCGUAUCUAUUCUUUUUUGAAGUCUUUAUGAUCCAUUUGUCGUGGGUCCCACCAGCUAUGUAGGAAUACUCUAUCUAGUUUAUAAGAGCUUUGAUACAUGCAAAAUAUUUGAAAACAAUAUCCGAACAUAUAAUUUUUGCCCCGUAAUAAAGCAAAGAUCACGAAAAGGCCUGAAAAAAGUACAUUAAGAUCAAAAUUUGGAUUAGAAAAAAAAACCAAUAGAAGAAUUCCAUUGUGCUCCCUCAUUCAUCGGAGAGCUCUCUUUGGGCUUUCCGAAAAUGUAUCACAUGUCAAGUUUGGCCUCACGGUCUAAAAGUUAUAGAGUCAUACAUUUUUAACAAAAAAAAAAAGAGGGAUGCAACACGAGGACUUUCCUAGAGGUCACCCAUCUUAUUACAACUCACGCCCAAGCACGCUUAACUGUGGAGUUCUGAUGGGAUCCGGUGCAUUAGUGUUGGUAUGAUCGCAUCUGUUACUACAUGCAAUGCAAUCAUAUCUAUUCUUUUUUGAAGACUUUAUGAUCCAUUUGCCGUGGGUCCCACUAGCUAUGUAGGAAUAUCCUAUCUUGUUUAUAAGAGCUUUGAUACAUGCAAAAUAUUCGAAAACAAUGUCCGAACAUAUAAUUUUUGCCCCGUAAUAUAGCAAAGAUCACGGAAAGGCCCGAAAAAGUACAUUAAGGUCAAAAUUUGGAGUAGAAAAAAAACCGAUAGAAGAAUUCCAUUUUCCUUCCUCAUUAAUUGGAUAGCUCUCUUUGGGCUUUCCGAAAAGGUAUCACAUGCCAUGUUUGGCCUCACGGUCUAAAAGUUAUAGAGUCAUAUAUUUUUAACAAAACAAAAAAGAGAAAAACCGAGAAAAAAAGAGGGAAGCAACACGAGGACUUUCCUGAAGGUCACCCAUCCUAGUACUACUCUCGCCUAAGCACGCUUAACUGCGGAGUUCAAAUGGGAUCUGGUGCAUUAGUGCUGGUAUGAUCGCAUUCGUUACUACAUGCAAUGCAAUCGUAUAUAUUCUUUUUUGAAGACUUUAUGAUCCAUUUGCCGUGGGUCCCACCAUCUAUGUAGGAAUACCCUUUCUUGUUUAGAAGAGCUUUGAUACAUGCUAAAUAUUCAAAAAAAAUGUCCGACCAUAUAAUUUUCGCCCCGAAAUAUAACAAAGAUCACGAAAAGGCCCGAAAAAGUACAUUAAGGUCAAAAUUUGGAGUAGAAAAAAAACACAAUAAAAGAAUUCCAUUUUCCUUCCUCAUUCAUCGGAGAGCUCUAUUUGGGCUUUCCGAAAAGGUAUCACAUGCCAAGUUUGGCCUCACGGUCUAAAAGUUCUAGAGUCAUACAUUUUUGACAAAACAAAACAGAAAAACCAAAAAAAAAGAGGGAUGCAACACGAGGACUUUCCAGGAGGUCACCCAUCCUAGUACUACUCUCGCCCAAGCACGCUUAACUGCGGAGUUUUGAUGGGAUCUGGUGCAUUAGUGCUGGUAUGAUCGCAUCCGGUACUACAUGCAAUGCAAUCGUAUAUAUUCUUUUUUGAAGACUUUAUGUUCGAUUUGCCGUGGGUUCCACCAGCUAUGUAGGAAUACCUUAUCUUGUUUAUAAGAGAUUUGAUACAUC